Bombus pyrosoma is the source of this 1504-nucleotide long non-coding RNA. RefSeq lists it as uncharacterized. The transcript has 3 exons. The record is from RefSeq and is a predicted model, not a curated record. NCBI's taxonomy places the organism in Eukaryota, Metazoa, Arthropoda, Insecta, Hymenoptera, Apidae.
UGCAUGAACUUGAUAUUCCGACCGUUUUGUGACAGUAAAACAAAGUAGGAAAAAGUGAAUAGCACGCGGAAGAAGUAAACGUAGACGAAGAAAAGGAAGAAGAUAAUGACGAUGACGAAGAAUGUGAAGUAAAAGAACUAGAGAAAGAAGAAAAAGUCGAAGAGAGAAAAAAUCGUAAGAUAACGCGAUGUUCGUGUACAUUGACGCAUAUGAAAUAGGUAAAAAAAUAUGAGAACGAAGUAAAAGUGGAGAAAAAUGGAGAAAAAGAUGAAAGACGAUGAUGACGAUGAAGAAAAAGAAAAGGCGAAAGAGAAGGGUAGAAAAGAUCAUAAGGCAACGUGGUGCCCAUGCAUAUUCACGCGUGGAAAGUGCGCGUGCGUAGCUGCGCAUAUGACGCCUCUGUACGCGGUAUAUAAAUGGCGUAAAGGCGUUUACGCGGUCGAAGGGGAGUUGGAGAAGAGGACAGUAACCCACAAGGAACGUUCUGUCUCAUAAGCGUGGUGCGUUGCACUUAAAUAUAGUCGGUGCAUAGAGAGGAAGAUAGAGAAAAGUUCACGCAUACGUAUACGCGUACGUACCGUUGCGGUGGAAGAAAGAUAGAAAAAAAGUGCGACGCGACGUUCGUUCUUCUCGUCGGCCUAUUAUUCUCUUUUAGCAAAACGGGCUCCCUGCUUGUUUGGAAGUAGUACACUCACGGAUUCGAAAGGUCGACAGUAUAAUAGUAUGUACCUUUCGUGGGCUGUUUCCUACGUCGCAGACGUUUCUUGGAUCUUUCGCCUAAAAUUCAAUAAUAGGAAAUCCCUCCGUAACUAUCCGACGUCAUUGUUUGACCAGCUUUUAACACGUUCAACUAGGCUUGAGCCGCUGAUGGUUUAAAGUGCUGUGUCGGCGCAAGACACCGUCAUGCCUCAAAACAGAGUUGUACGUUUUUAACACUUUGGACCGUGUGUCUUGUAACUGCGCUGCGUUAGUGUUGAUUUUGUACUACAGCCGAGAGAACAGUUAAAAACUCUGUUGACAGAUGGAAACAAAUUUCUUUUUUAAAACAGAAAUACUCAAAUUAGUGAUGUGAAGCAUCGAAAUUCUUCGUUUGGAAAAGUGAAUAUGAAUACAUAUGUACUAUGGAACACUAUGAAACACUAUGAAACAUUAUGAAACACUAUGAAACAUUAUGAAACACUAUGAAACAUUAUGAAACAUUAUGAAAAUAUGUAUAUGUAGUUGUUAUGAAUAAUUUAAAAACACGUAGUUAUUUAUAUAAAUAAAGAGAUUUUAACGCAUAAAUUUCCACUAUCAGAUGGUUUUACAACGUUUAUACGUAUGGAUAACGAUAUCAUUUUCUUACCACGUUUGGGAUUAUGACACAUUAAAAGACAAUUUGUCUUUCGUUAUCUAAGAAGCAGCUUUAUUUCUUCCAAGAUAAAAUGGAUAUAGCGUUCAGAUAACGUGCAAGAUAAACAAAUUGUAGCUGGAUUAUUUAUGAAUAUAUAAAAAGAAAGAAAAA